GUGUAGUAUGAAAGGAGAAAAGGUUAGCACUCCCCUUGAGAAGAAUGGAAGAUGUCUUAGUGGCCUUUACAACACAUAUUAUAGUUAAAGCAUUGCCACCUACCUAAUGGCAUCUAACCAAGUUUUAGA
This is a small nuclear RNA of Ornithorhynchus anatinus (platypus), 129 nucleotides long. The record is from RefSeq and is a predicted model, not a curated record. NCBI's taxonomy places the organism in Eukaryota, Metazoa, Chordata, Mammalia, Monotremata, Ornithorhynchidae.